GUUUCAAAUAACCCAAAAGUACCUAGUUUAGAUUUUUAUGUUUUCAAAUUAGAUAUUUGUUUUAUCUGUUUCUAAGAGUGCAUCCCUAGGAAGAUAUUGUAUUAUCUUUCAAUAUAAUAUAAUUUCUUUGAACAAACACACGCUUCAUUUAAAUGCUUGUAAUUCUUUUUGAGGAUUACAUUCAUGGUUCAUAUAUUGCUUUUACAAUUAGCAAUCACUGUUCCAUUCUCAUUUGUUACGCUCUAUAAUUCCUGGUUUACUGGAGUAAAUGUUCAUGUUUAAUGCAUGUUACUAUACUAUGAGUAAGAAAUUAACUGACUGACAUCAAAAUGAGGUGGAUUUUAAUUUUUCUUUCAAUUUUGCGAGGUCAUAGUGGGGAGUUGCUUACAAGAUCUCCAAUAAGGAAGAUGAAGAAACUGCAAUAAAUUAUUUGGAAGUGAGGGAGAAGCAGUAUGAUCAGAAGGCUUAUCUUGAUUUGUUCACUGUAAGUUCUAAACAUAUUAACUGUAGGUCUGUAAAUCAUGUAAGCAUCUUCUGAUAUUUGUUUGCAGGAGGCCGCAGCUACAACUCCAGCUGUUUCAGGAGUAAUGGUGUAAGCAGCAGAAACCACCAUUAAUUACUAUUGUAUUUUCUUAUUUACAUUGGAUUUACCAAAUUUAAUCAUUUCUCUAUUGACACGUUCUCUUUUUAGAUAUAUAGGAUCACCAGACAAGAAGCAUAACCAAAAUUACUUGGGGCCUGCACCUCUUGAAGAGAUAGCCAAGUAUGUAUCUUAACUCAUUGCUUUUUAGAUCUAAAAAUUCUCCACCUUGCACUAACCAAGAAAUCUAUUCAAUUGGAAAAUCACAUUUUUAAAUAUACAAUGCAACUUGCUUAUGCACCUGUGAUCCACUUUCCGCAAAGCAAACACGAAAUAUUAUUUAGGGCAAUUAUCUGGCAUUUACCUGAUCCGAAGUCUGGAUCAACGAAUAAUCAACAGUCAUUUGGGUUACCAAGUUAUUGAUAUAGUGAUAAAUUAGAACAGCCGAGAAGGUUGUUCCACCUCUCUUGGUAGAUAAUUUUACUAAUUAUGCGUUGCUAGACCAUGGCAUUGGCAUGGCUCAUAUGCAAAGUCAUUCCCAAUCCUAUGUGCAGACAAAUUGUACAUGCUGAAGGCCCUUCAGGACCCAAUAAAGACUAUCUUUUCCAACUUGAAAAAGCCCUUCUUCAAAUUGGAUGUAAGGACAAACAUAUAAUGGAUCUUGGAAGUGAAGUGAGGCGCGUUCUUUCAGAGAGGGAGCCUGACCUCAUAAUGCUAUGAACAUUAGGCUUAUAUUCUUAGAUUCGUUGAAAUGGAGCAGUCAUCCAAAAAGACAUUGUAAUUGCGAUAUAUUAUUGUUUGACACAAGAUACACUUAUGGAACUUAAUUAUUCAGCUCUGAGCUGAACUGGAACUAUUUUUUCAUGAAUAAAGAUGGAUUGGCCCUAUGUAUAACCAGAGGAAUGUUGCUCUGAAAACUCAUAAAGACCUGGAUGGUUUACUGAAACCAAAAACAUCACAUCCAUCAAGAUACACAACUAUUGGUUUAUAUUUGAAGCUACCCUUUUUUGUCAGGGGAAGAUACCCUUCAAUGAGUCGCCAAAUCAGCUACAAGUGACAUCCUACGCUACAAACGGAUUCUCCCUGAAAGAGAUAUGGUCCUACAACCAAGAGUCCAAGACAGUAGAAAAAAAUAGAACUAAACAUGUUUAUAACAGAUGAUACAUCCAUAAACUCUUUAACUGCUAAGGUAUCUAUUAUAACUCAACUUGCGGGUCAGCUCAUCCAGGAUUCAAUCGCUGUCCUCCCCAUGCUCUGCAUGCAAGAGAGAAUAUCAUAAGAGAGAACAUACUGAAGGUCAAAUAACAAAAUUCUUACAGCUAAUUUAAUCAAUGGCUUGUUGCAAGUAAAUGUUCCACUUCUAUGCCACAUACUCUAGGAUAUUCUAUAUGCUUUCAGGUAUAAGGUAAACCUCAUCGCUUCUUCGCUGGACUCUUGUACCCACCAUUGAUAGAGGACAUCAUCUACGCCAAAUGAAGCCAAAAACCUUAUCUUUUUUCAUGUAAAAUUUACCAACAAAAAUUCUUAUAGGCUACAAGCGUAAUCCAGGCCCAUGCAAAGCAGAGAUCAAAUUAGAAAUUAAAACAAGAGAUGAAAUUCUUAGCAAAACAAGGACGUGCAAUUCCUGGUGCAUGGACUAUAAUACAUCACAAUUCAUGGUGCUUGAGCUACAUCCUAAGCAACACAAACUGAUCAGAUCACAGCACAAGCAUCCGUUAGUUGGAGAUCCUGUUUCCCUGAACCUCAAGACCAUUUAUUUCAUGUUAUUACCCAUUUUGAACCAAAGGAACCAAACUCAUCCAUGAUCACUUACCCUCAUCACUCUGGCUAUCAUCAUCCCCAUCAUUAUCUCCUUCAUCCUCUUCAUCAUUUUCUUCUUCCUCAUUAUCGUCAUCGUCAUCCUCAUCAGUAUCAUCAGCAUCAUCACUAUCACUUUCACUUUCAGCUGGUAUUUUGGGCUUUGGAGGAGGCACAUAACUCGUUGUGGACCUUCUACGUGAACUUGAUACAAUAUUACUUGUGUCAAUGCCCUCAAGUUCUUUU
This 2623-nucleotide unclassified non-coding RNA is filed under the name Hevea brasiliensis (rubber tree). Lineage: Eukaryota; Viridiplantae; Streptophyta; Magnoliopsida; Malpighiales; Euphorbiaceae. The record is from RNAcentral.